This 519-nucleotide ribosomal RNA is filed under the name uncultured bacterium. RNAcentral describes it as "bacterial SSU rRNA". It matches the Rfam family "Bacterial small subunit ribosomal RNA", at positions 15 to 518 of the family's 1533-position model. The record is from RNAcentral.
GAUCCUGGCUCAGAUUGAACGCUGGCGGCGUGCUUAACACAUGCAAGUCGCGCGUGAAAGGACUUCGGUCCGAGUAAAGCGGCGCACGGGUGAGUAACGCGUGGAUGAUCUACCCAUGAGUUAGGAAUAACGGCUGGAAACGGUCGCUAAUACCAAAUACGCUCCGAUUUCAACUUCGGGGGGAAAGGUGGCCUCUGCUUGCAAGCUACUGCUCAUGGAUGAGUCCGCGUCCCAUUAGCUAGUUGGUGGGGUAACGGCCCACCAAGGCGACGAUGGGUAGCCGGUCUGAGAGGAUGACCGGCCACACUGGGACUGGAACACGGCCCAGACUCCUACGGGAGGCAGCAGUGGGGAAUAUUGCGCAAUGGGCGAAAGCCUGACGCAGCGACGCCGCGUGAGGGAUGAAGGUCCUCGGAUCGUAAACCUCUGUCAGGAGGGAAGAACCGCCACGGUGCUAAUCAGCCGUGGUCUGACGGUACCUCCAAAGGAAGCACCGGCUAACUCCGUGCCAGCCGCAGC